This 541-nucleotide transfer RNA is filed under the name uncultured cyanobacterium. RNAcentral's name for it is "partial miscellaneous RNA". The stretch from base 212 to 284 matches the Rfam family "tRNA". The record is from RNAcentral. Lineage: Bacteria; Bacillati; Cyanobacteriota.
CAGGGAGACAACAAAAUGUUUAAUAUUAUUAUUUUGUCGCCUUAGGUCGAUCGGUAUCUCACGUUUUUAAUUUAUUAAGAAUUUCAUUUCCUAAGUUUUUCUAGGUCACACCCAUUAUUUUUCCUGGGCCAUUAGCUCAGGUGGUUAGAGCGCACCCCUGAUAAGGGUGAGGUCCCUGGUUCAAGUCCAGGAUGGCCCAUAUCUCUAUGUUGGGGGUAUAGCUCAGUUGGUAGAGCGCCUGCUUUGCAAGCAGGAUGUCAGCGGUUCGAGUCCGCUUACCUCCACUGAUCACCACCUCUUCCAUAAUCGGUAGAAAGGAAAUUUUUUGAGUUGUGAUCAAAUUCUGAAAGAAUCUAGCUUCCUAAUGAAAUCAUUAAGAUGCUGGACUCAUUGAAUUAAUUUCAUUGUUUUCAGAGAACCUUGACAACUGCAUAGAUUAUUUUUAAAGACAAUAAGCAUCUUUUAUGAUGCAGAUUUAUUAUUUGUGCAAAUGCAUUAAUAACAAUUCUAUUAAGCUGAUGCUUCAAUAUUUGAAGUUAUU